Molecule: ribosomal RNA, 440 nt
Filed under: uncultured bacterium
Lineage: Bacteria
Description: partial 16S ribosomal RNA
Rfam family: Bacterial small subunit ribosomal RNA
Source: RNAcentral
CCUACGGGUGGCAGCAGUGGGGAAUAUUGCACAAUGGGGGAAACCCUGAUGCAGCGACGCCGCGUGAGUGAUGAAGUAUUUCGGUAUGUAAAGCUCUAUCAGCAGGGAAGAAAAUGACGGUACCUGAUUAAGAAUCCACGGCUAACUACGUGCCAGCAACCGCGGGAAUACGUAGGGGGCAAGCGUUAGCCGGAUUUACUGGGUGUAAAGGGAGCGUAGACGGCAUUACAAGACUGGGGUGAAAGGCCUGGGCUCAACCCCGGGACUGCUUUUGAAACUGUGCAGCUAGAGUGUGGGAGAGGCAAGUGGAAUUCCUAGUGGAGCGGUGAAAUGCGUAGAUAUUAGGAGGAACAUCAGUGGCGAAGGCGGCUUACUGGACGAUAACUGACGUUGAGGCUCGAAAGCGUGGGGAGCAAACAGGAUUAGAUACCCGAGUAGUC